CCUACGGGAGGCAGCAGUGGGGAAUCUUGGACAAUGGGCGCAAGCCUGAUCCAGCCAUGCCGCGUGAGUGAUGAAGGCCCUAGGGUCGUAAAGCUCUUUCGCCAGGGAUGAUAAUGACAGUACCUGGUAAAGAAACCCCGGCUAACUCCGUGCCAGCAGCCGCGGUAAUACGGAGGGGGUUAGCGUUGUUCGGAAUUACUGGGCGUAAAGCGCACGUAGGCGGAUCGGAAAGUUGGGGGUGAAAUCCCGGGGCUCAACCCCGGAACUGCCUCCAAAACUAUCGGUCUAGAGUUCGAGAGAGGUGAGUGGAAUUCCGAGUGUAGAGGUGAAAUUCGUAGAUAUUCGGAGGAACACCAGUGGCGAAGGCGGCUCACUGGCUCGAUACUGACGCUGAGGUGCGAAAGUGUGGGGAGCAAACAGGAUUAGAUACCCUGGUAGUCCACACCGUAAACGAUGAAUGCCAGUCGUCGGGUAGCAUGCUAUUCGGUGACACACCUAACGGAUUAAGCAUUCCGCCUGGGGAGUACGGUCGCAAGAUUAAAACUCAAAGGAAUUGACGGGG
RNAcentral lists this ribosomal RNA (562 nucleotides) under uncultured bacterium. RNAcentral's name for it is "bacterial SSU rRNA". It matches the Rfam family "Bacterial small subunit ribosomal RNA", at positions 338 to 918 of the family's 1533-position model. The record is from RNAcentral.